GCUCAACAUUAUAUUUAUUAUAAAGAACACGAAAAAAACAAUAAACAAAGAACGACAGGAACAGUUUUGCAGGUUAACUAAAAGCAGUGCAAAAACAACUACCCACAAACAAACAGGUGAAAACAAGCUCUUUCAAUAUGACUCUCAAUCAGGAACAACGAUGAACAGCUGUUCCUGAUCGAGAGCCACACAGACCACAAAGAAAUAUACAAACUAGAAACCUAGAAUACAAAAAACCAGAACAUACACCAAAACCCCGGAACACAUAAAUAAAACACCCCUCUACAAUAACCAUAACCCCCUAACCACAUAAAACAAAUACCCUCUGCCACGUCCUGACCAAACUACAAUAACAAAUAAUCCCUAUUACUGGUCAGGACGUGACAUUACUACUACUACUCGCUCGGUUCUGAGCUGUAGGCAGACUCACUCGGUUCUGAGCUGUAGGCAGACUCACUCGGUUCUGAGCUGUAGGCAGACUCACUUGGCUCCGGACUGUAGGCCGUCUUACUCCGUUCCGGACUGUAGACCCUCUCACUCCGUUCCGAACUGUGGGCCGUCUCACUCGGCUCUGAACAGUGGGCCGUCUCACUCGGCUCUGAACAGUGGGCCGUCUCACUCGGCUCUGAACAGUGGGCCGUCUCACUCGGCUCUGAACAGUGGGCCGUCUCACUCGGCUCUGAACAGUGGGCCGUCUCACUCGGUUCCGAACUGUAGGCCGUCUCACUCGGUUCCGGGCUAUACACUCUUACCGGAUACUCUAGACGGGGUACUGUCUCCGGACACUCAGGACGGGGCACUGUCGCCGGACACUCAGGACGGGGCACUGUCGCCGGACACUCAGGACGGGGCACUGUCGCCGGACACUCAGGACGGGGCACUGUCGCCGGACACUCAGGACGGGGCACUGUCGCCGGACACUCAGGACGGGGCACUGUCGCCGGACACUCAGGACGGGGCACUGUCGCCGGACACUCAGGACGAGGCACUGUCACCGGACAGGGCGCUGUCGUCGGAAGCUCGGGACUGGACUGACGCACUGGAAGCCUGAUGCGUGGGGCUGGUAGUGGAGGUACCAGCCUGGGGACACGCACCUCAGGGCUAGUGCGGGGAGUGGGAACAGGCUGAGUUGGACUGGGCUGACGCACUGGAGGCCUGGUGCGUGAUGCUGGCUGUGGAUAUACCGGGCCGUGGAGGCGCACAGGCGGUCUCGAUCGCACCUCCUGCACAACCCGUCCUGGCUGGAUGGAACUAGUAGCCCUGUACGAGCGGAGUGCUGGUACAGGGCGAACUGGGCUGUGCAGGGGCCUGAUGGUUGCCGUGCGUAGAGCAGGCGUAGGGUAGCCUGGACCUAGGAGGCGCACCGGUGACUAGAUGCGCUGCGCAGGCAUCCUCCUACCAGGCUGGAUGCCCACUCUAGCACGGCACUUGCGAGGGGCUGGGAUCACUCGCACUGGACUGUGCGUGCGUAUGGGCGAGAUCGUGCGCACUUCUGCAUACCUCGGCGCCCUCCACUCCAUACGUUCCUCACAAUAAGCAUGGGGAGCUGGCUUAGGGCUCACCCUUGGCCCAGCCAAACUACCCGUGUGCCCCCCCAAAAAACAAUAUUGGGGGUGCCUCUCCGGCUUCCUCGCCAGCCGUGUUCCCCGGUAGCGUUCCCGGUCCUCACCAGACUUCCUCCAUGGGCCCUCUCCAGCCAGAAUCUGCUCCCAAGUCCAUGACUCGCGACAGUCCACCCGUUGCUCCUUCCUCCGCUGCUUGGUCCGUGUUUGGUGGGUAGUUCUGUCACGGGUGUCGUAAUGUAAAGACCAAGACGCAGCGGGUUGCGUGCUCAACAUUAUAUUUAUUAUAAAGAACACGAAAAAACAAUAAACAAAGAACGACAGGAACAGUUUUGCAGGCUAACUAAAAGCGGUGCAAAAACAACUACCCACAAACAGGUGAAAACAAGCUCUUUAAAUAUGACUCUCAAUCAGGAACAAUGAUGAACAGCUGUUCCUGAUCGAGAGCCACACAGACCAAAGAAAUAUACAAACUAGAAACCUAGAAUACAAAAAACAGAACAUACACCAAAACCCCGGAACACAUAAAUAAAACACCCCUCUACAAUAACCAUAACCCCCUAACCACAUAAAACAAAUACCCUCUGCCACGUCCUGACCAAACUACAAUAACAAAUAAUCCCUAUUACUGGUCAGGACGUGACAAUUGGUGCGGGUGGCUUCCAGGUUAAGUGGGCAUUGUGUCAAGAAGCAGUGCGGCUUGGUUGGGUUGUGUUUCGGAGGACGCACGGCUCUCGACCUUUGCCUCUUCCGAGUCCAUACAGGAGUUGCAGCGAUGAGACAAGACUAACAUUGGGGAGAAAAAGAGGUAAAACAUGUAUAUAUUUUUUUAAAUCACUAAAUAGAAAUGCUACCAAAAAUAAUUUACUUAAAGUUGUUGCACCCAUGUUUCACCAAACAAUAUUUUG
Molecule: long non-coding RNA, 2470 nt
Filed under: Salmo salar (Atlantic salmon)
Lineage: Eukaryota; Metazoa; Chordata; Actinopteri; Salmoniformes; Salmonidae
Description: lncRNA (ENSSSAG00000096463.1)
Source: RNAcentral